GAGCGAACGCUGGCGGCAGGCCUAACACAUGCAAGUCGAACGAACUCUUCGGAGUUAGUGGCGGACGGGUGAGUAACACGUGGGAACGUGCCUUUAGGUUCGGAAUAACUCAGGGAAACUUGUGCUAAUACCGAAUGUGCCCUUCGGGGGAAAGAUUUAUCGCCUUUAGAGCGGCCCGCGUCUGAUUAGCUAGUUGGUGAGGUAAAGGCUCACCAAGGCGACGAUCAGUAGCUGGUCUGAGAGGAUGAUCAGCCACAUUGGGACUGAGACACGGCCCAAACCCCUACGGGAGGCAGCAGUGGGGAAUCUUGCGCAAUGGGCGAAAGCCUGACGCAGCCAUGCCGCGUGAAUGAUGAAGGUCUUAGGAUUGUAAAAUUCUUUCACCGGGGACGAUAAUGACGGUACCCGGAGAAGAAGCCCCGGCUAACUUCGUG
This 434-nucleotide ribosomal RNA is filed under the name uncultured bacterium. Its description in RNAcentral is "partial 16S ribosomal RNA". It matches the Rfam family "Bacterial small subunit ribosomal RNA", at positions 27 to 507 of the family's 1533-position model. The record is from RNAcentral.